Molecule: non-coding RNA, 821 nt
Organism: Zootermopsis nevadensis
Lineage: Eukaryota; Metazoa; Arthropoda; Insecta; Blattodea; Termopsidae
Source: RefSeq, a predicted model, not a curated record
UAGUACAGGGCAUUGUGUGUAAACGAUUACGUUGUUUUGUGGAAGAGUAUGGCACAGUCGUCCAUGCCCUUCCAACUCCCAGCGGAGUUGUUUUGGCUCCCAGAAGUACAGUCUCACAACAAAGCAGAGUGCAUGAAUGUGGAUUUCUCUGGUUCGAAUGGGAAUAGAAGAAAUAACACUGAGGAAGUCGUGACUGAUUUAUUUGUGAGAAGUUUAUUCAAACUGAAAUCUUGAAGUAUUCUUAUCCCAGGACAAAAUUGGAGAGCAAAAGGCCACAUAUCUGAUAAAAACAAAACAGAUCCUGACCAGGGUCCAGGGUGAUGAAUAUGUAUACAUUCAAGAGGUAUAGAUAAAAAUAAUUAAAUAUCUACAACAUGAAAAUCUUACAAAUGAAAAUCUCUUUACCUAUUACCAAAGUGUUACAUGCAUAUGGAUGAAUGGACAGAGCAAUUUUAAUUGGCACUUGAAAGCGAUGUGAAAGUGCCUAAAAUGAUAAAACUGUUACUUCAGGUUAUACCUUGAGAGAUCAUUGUGAUUUUGGAAGUGGAAGACUUUAAAACUGAGCAAUAUCAUACCAUUCAUUACUGUGUUAGAAUAUGCUGCUGCUAAUAUCAUGAAACUAAUUGGAACUCAUGGAGAGGAAUGUUUGAACAGAAGUUUUAAAAUGGUACAAGAAGUUCAAGAUGGGAUGGCAGUUCAUAGCAAGUGAUGCAUAGUUGGUUCAUGUAAGGUCAACCACACAAGAUCAGAUUCCUUGUGCAGAUGAAAUAAUGAAUGAAGACAGUUAAAUUUCAGUCAUAGAAUUAGCAUCUCUGUUGUAC